AUGAACUUCAGGCUCUUCUGUGUGACCUUAAGUCUCCUGUGUGCAAAACACAUGGAGGCUGCCAUCACCCAAAAUCCAAGAAACAAGGUGACAAUAACAGGAGGAAAGGUGGAACUAAGCUGUAACCAGACUGAUAACCACAAUUAUAUGUACUGGUAUCGGCAGGACCUGGGUCAUGGACUGAGGCUGAUCUAUUACUCAUAUCGUGAUGGCAGCAUCGAGAAAGGAGAUGUCCCUGAUGGGUACAAGGUCAUCAGACCAAGGACAGAAGACUUCUCUCUCAUUCUGGAGAAGACUUCCCCUUCUCAGACAUCUGUGUACUUCUGUGCCAGCAGUGAUACACAUCAGUGUGUGGCUGCCUCCCCUCUGCACAGAAAGUAA
Microtus oregoni (creeping vole) is the source of this 381-nucleotide non-coding RNA. The record is from the annotation of a RefSeq genome assembly. NCBI's taxonomy places the organism in Eukaryota, Metazoa, Chordata, Mammalia, Rodentia, Cricetidae.